GACCUCAAAUCAGGUAAGAAUACCCGCUGAACUUAAGCAUAUCAAUAAGCGGAGGAAAAGAAGAUAACAAUGAUUCCUCUAGUAACUGCGAGUGAAGAGGGAAAAGCUCAAAUUUUAGAUCUGUUAGGUUUACCUAACCGAGUUGUAAUUUGAAGAAGCGUUUUCUGCGAAUUUGGUUAGUCCUAAUCCUUUGGAAUAAGGUAUCAUGGAGGGUGGGAAUCCCGUUCGGUUAACCAAAGCGCUUUAGGAUACGCUUUCAAAGAGUCAAGUUGUUUGGGAUUGCAGCUUAAAAUGGGAGGUAAAUUUCUCCUAAGGCUAAAUAUUGGCGAGAGACCGAUAGCGAACAAGUACCGUGAGGGAACUAUGAAAAGAACUUUGAAAGGAGAGUUAAACAGUACGUGAAAUUGUUGAAAGGGAAACGAUUGAAG
This 428-nucleotide ribosomal RNA is filed under the name Oehlia diaphana. RNAcentral's name for it is "eukaryotic LSU rRNA". It matches the Rfam family "Eukaryotic large subunit ribosomal RNA", at positions 1 to 428 of the family's 3401-position model. Lineage: Eukaryota; Fungi; Glomeromycota; Glomeromycetes; Glomerales; Glomeraceae. The record is from RNAcentral.